GAUGAACGCUAGCGACAGGCUUAACACAUGCAAGUCGAGGGGCAGCAUGAGGUAGCAAUACCUUGAUGGCGACCGGCGCACGGGUGAGUAACGCGUAUGCAACCUGCCCGAUACCGGGGUAUAGCCCAUGGAAACGUGGAUUAACACCCCAUAGUACUUUUAUCCUGCAUGGGAUGUGAGUUAAAUGUUCAAGGUAUCGGAUGGGCAUGCGUCCUAUUAGUUAGUUGGCGGGGUAACAGCCCACCAAGACGAUGAUAGGUAGGGGUUCUGAGAGGAAGGUCCCCCACAUUGGAACUGAGACACGGUCCAAACUCCUACGGGAGGCAGCAGUGAGGAAUAUUGGUCAAUGGACGUAAGUCUGAACCAGCCAAGUCGCGUGAGGGAAGACUGCCCUAUGGGUUGUAAACCUCUUUUAUAAGGGAAGAAUAAGUUCUACGUGUAGAAUGAUGCCUGUACCUUAUGAAUAAGCAUCGGCUAACUCCGUGCCAGCCGCCGCAGUAA
Molecule: ribosomal RNA, 501 nt
Filed under: uncultured bacterium
Lineage: Bacteria
Description: partial 16S ribosomal RNA
Rfam family: Bacterial small subunit ribosomal RNA
Source: RNAcentral